RNAcentral lists this long non-coding RNA (208 nucleotides) under Elaeis guineensis (African oil palm). RNAcentral describes it as "long non-coding RNA (EGUI_LNC025944)". The record is from RNAcentral. Lineage: Eukaryota; Viridiplantae; Streptophyta; Magnoliopsida; Arecales; Arecaceae.
GCUUCCAAACGAGGCUGGGAUUUUUCUAAAGAAAUAUUAUUAUUUAAUAAAUAUUUUCUCAAAAUACAGCCAAACAGGAUUUAUUUCUAUAAAAUCCACGAUUUCAUGUCCAAGUACCAAGCUGCAUGUCGUGAAGGUGGCUUCAAGCCACAAUUUCAGUAUGAUCCUUUUUCCCGACCACGAUCACUCACUCCCUGCUCCUAUGUCU